This 47-nucleotide small RNA is filed under the name Arabidopsis thaliana (thale cress). Its description in RNAcentral is "ATSL143950". The record is from RNAcentral. Lineage: Eukaryota; Viridiplantae; Streptophyta; Magnoliopsida; Brassicales; Brassicaceae.
UCUUCUCUUUGUAUCCUCUCCACAUAAGCCAACAUCCCGCGCCUAGC